AACGAACGCUGGCGGCAGGCUUAACUCAUGCAAGUCGAGCGAGACCUUCGGGUCUAGCGGCGGACGGGUGAGUAACGCGUGGGAACGUGCCCUUCUCUACGGAAUAGCCCCGGGAAACUGGGAGUAAUACCGUAUACGCCCUUUGGGGGAAAGAUUUAUCGGAGAAGGAUCGGCCCGCGUUGGAUUAGGUAGUUGGUGGGGUAAUGGCCCACCAAGCCGACGAUCCAUAGCUGGUUUGAGAGGAUGAUCAGCCACACUGGGACUGAGACACGGCCCAGACUCCUACGGGAGGCAGCAGUGGGGAAUCUUAGACAAUGGGGGCAACCCUGAUCUAGCCAUGCCGCGUGAGUGAUGAAGGCCUUAGGGUUGUAAAGCUCUUUCAGCUGGGAAGAUAAUGACGGUACCAGCAGAAGAAGCCCCGGCUAACUCCGUG
Molecule: ribosomal RNA, 433 nt
Filed under: uncultured bacterium
Lineage: Bacteria
Description: partial 16S ribosomal RNA
Rfam family: Bacterial small subunit ribosomal RNA
Source: RNAcentral